UGGUACCUCAGAGCACAUCCUCACAUUA
RNAcentral lists this non-coding RNA (28 nucleotides) under Mus musculus (house mouse). Lineage: Eukaryota; Metazoa; Chordata; Mammalia; Rodentia; Muridae. The record is from RNAcentral.